RNAcentral lists this long non-coding RNA (567 nucleotides) under Oryza brachyantha (malo sina). Its description in RNAcentral is "long non-coding RNA (OBRA_LNC001900)". Lineage: Eukaryota; Viridiplantae; Streptophyta; Magnoliopsida; Poales; Poaceae. The record is from RNAcentral.
ACCACUUUAUAUUACAGAUGCUAACUCAAGAGAAGAACCACCACUGAUGACAAGUACUAGUAAAACACAUGAAAGGGACAAUGGCCUGCCAUAAACCAGCCAGCUACCUAUUACACUGCAGUAUUACUCCCGAACUAACUAUUUAACUUACAGUAGAUAAUACCUAUAAAAAAAGGAAUUUCAAAAAAAAAAAACUAGGACUACAAAACUGAAAAGCUAGCAGUACACAGGUUCAGCAUCCCAAAGCUCUGCUCCUCGUAGGUGAUCUCACCCAUCACAUGCUCAGGUUUGCUGGCUUGAAGCCGUACACUGCAACAAGAACAUGCAGAAAUCAGUUGAUACUGCAUCAUAGAGAGAGAGAUGGUUGGCACUAUCUUGCUCUUGAAACGUGCCAAUUUAUGCAACUAUUUCAAACAGAUCGAACCAGAUAGAUUCGUAGGAAAUAAUCCAGUUUAUAAACAAACUUGGUAAAAAAUUGUAACAAAAAUGUUGACACUGACGAUGAUGAACAAGUUUUUCAGAAGUGUUACCUCAUCUGUUCUGGAUGGGAUUCCAGCCGGACCUGGG